GACGAACGCUGGCGGCGUGCCUAAUACAUGCAAGUUGAGCGAUGAAGCUUGGUGCUUGCCCCAAUUUGAAGAGCAGCGAACGGGUGAGUAACGCGUGGGGAAUCUGCCUUUGAGCGGGGGACAACAUUUGGAAACGAAUGCUAAUACCGCAUAACAUCUUUAAACAUAAGUUUUAAUUUUGAAAGAUGCAAUUGCAUCACUCAAAGAUGAUCCCGCGUUGUAUUAGCUAGUUGGUUAGGUAAAGGCGCACCAAGGCGAUGAUACAUAGCCGACCUGAGAGGGGGGACGGCCACAUUGGGACUGAAGACAGGGCCAAACCCCUUCGGGAGGGAGGAGGAGGGGAUCUUCGGGAAAAGACGGAAGGCUGAACGGGCAAAGCCGGGGGGGGGAAGGAGGGUGUCGGGUCGGAAAAACCCGGUGGUAGGGAAGAAAGUAGGUGGGAGUGGAAAGCGCAUGAAGUGACGGUACCUACCCAGAAAGGGACGGCUAACUACGUG
Molecule: ribosomal RNA, 497 nt
Filed under: uncultured bacterium
Lineage: Bacteria
Description: partial 16S ribosomal RNA
Rfam family: Bacterial small subunit ribosomal RNA
Source: RNAcentral